GAGCACACGGGUGUGCACCGCGCAGGGGCUGAGGCUGGGAGCCGUAGUCAGGGGCACCGGGUGGGCUUUGGCGGCGGGUCGACCUGCCUUUCAGGUGCCGGGGGUUUGGGAGCAGGGGAACGGGCCCUGGGCGGAUUCCUGACCGCCCCCUUCGCGCCCCUCCCCCCCUCACUUUCGCUUUCCCCGCCUGCCCCAACCCUCGCCCCCGGGCGCUCGGCCGCUCCCACCUGUCACCCCCAUGCAGACCGAGGCUCUGUCCUGGAGGCGGGGAGCGGGCUGGUGGAUGCUGCCUCUCCGCCUCCAGUGUGCUCUUUGGCUGAGGGACUGGUGGGCGCUGGAAAUAUUAGAGGCGCCGGUGCCUGUGAUGUCGCCGCCUCUGUGACGUCCCCGCCGCGACCCCACAGGCAGGGAGCCGCAUUUAGGUUUCGGGCGGGCGGACGGGGGACGGCCCGAGUGAGGCGUCCUCCGAAGGCUGCGGGCCCGAAGCCAGAACUCCUUCCUCUCCGAAGACCUCGGGGGUGGGGCUCGCGCUUCCGCAGCGGGCCUAGAGCGAGAGGCAGGCGGCAGGUAAGCCUGGCUGUGCUGGACCGGACUUGCACCCGCUCUGCACGCCAGGGGCUCAGGGCUGCCGCCCUUUUCGUGGUCCCAGGGCCCUUCCCAGAACCGGCUAAACCAACCCAAGCCGCGCGCACACACACUUGUGCACACAGGGAAUGUGGAACCAGAUUCGAUAAGGCACCCCUUGUGCCCCAGCUCCACGACCAAGGAACUCAGCCUACAAAGGCAUCCCUGGCCCCAUGCAGGGCUCAGGAGGCAGCGGAAAGGGUUAAGAGUCCAGGCCUCAAGGACAGGAGGGGAGGGUGGAGGGCCUGUGGUGUGCAUCCGGCAUCCCUGGCUGGUCAGGGCCCAGAACCCAUCCCUAUUUCCCUUCUGGUGGUAGGGGGCUGCCUGACUUGGGCAGUGGCACAAAGCAUGCAGGCUUUGUUGUCCUCCUCCUCCACCCCUCAGCCUGGCAUAUUUUGGCGAGGGACUUCCCUGAUGCCACCGGGCAAGGCAUCUUGCCUAACUGGUCUGAAUGACUAGCCCAGAGUUGGGACUAGAAGCAGCCACUGGGAGGAGUGGUGGGAAAGCAGCCCCACUCAAGGGCUGAAACAGUCCUUGUCCAAAACAAGGGGGACUUGAAAAGAUCUCAGCAAGAAGGCAAAGAGAGGCAGUUGUUAGGGUCGUGAGGUUCAGCAGGCCGGCAGGCAAGAGAGAGGACACCGAUGGCCUGGAAACAUUUGUCAUCACCCCAAACUUUAUUGCUUACAAAGAGUUCUCUACAACCCAGACUCUGCAGUACCAAGGCUGCAGUUCUUUAUGUGCUGGGGGCCGGGGCUCUCUCCCCGGGAGCAGUCUGGCUCAAUGUGGACAGCUGGACAAAGGCUGUCUUGGCAAGAUGUGGGAAUGAGCUUCUCCCAAGGAGUCUCGGCGUCCCCUGCCCCAGGAGGUUGAGGCUAGCAGACACCCCCUGACGAUUCACAGCUGAUUUAAUGCUACGGAGAGGCUGUCGAUGCUGAGGCACGAGAGAAUUUGCUCCUGCUCCUCCAGAGAAAAUGGCUGGGACAGGCUGUUGAGGAAUAAUUCUGCAGGGAAAAGUGGAAGAUGGCUGUGAAAGACUGGGAGGAGGCUGGCUAUGUUUUCAGGGGUUCUUCCUGCACAGUCGGUAGAAGCUGAGCUGCUGGGGAAGGGGCUGGAAGAAAGCCCACACCGCAGCUGCUGCAGUUCCUGCUCCGGGAAGGUUGCUUUCCGCUCUGGUGAGCUGGGGUUUCUGGCAGGGGCUGGCUCCAGGGAGGACAGAGGUAAGGGUUCCCACAUCCCAGACUCCUCCUUGCUCAAAGUCAAGGGAGGAGACUUGUUUGGCUCUGGGGGCUCUGGUGGGAGAGGAGGCUGGAGCUUAGGGGCUCUGCCUGUUGUCUCCUCAGCUGGCCGGGGCCCUGGGGCCCUUGGCGAAAGCUCUCUCGGCUGGGCAUGGAGGGUCUGGUGAUAAUUGGCUUGAUUUGGCGGUGGAUGUCUUGGUUCUUUAUAUUCUCCCCUCCAGGGGCUCUUCAGACCUCCCACUAGAAAACAGAGAGUACAAUGGUGAGGGGAAGCGUGCUGUGCACAGACAGCGGUCCAGGCAGGAGCGGCCUCUCCUGAGUGCAGAAGGGCUAGAGGCAAACAAAGGGGAGGACACUGCCCCGGGCCACCAUGGGAGGUGGCUCCAGAGGGCAGCAUGGUGGUCUCCACAGGAGACUUCCUCAAUAAAAUGGUCCCAAUAUGACAGGGAUAGGACUGGAUUUCUGUCUUUGAUUCUGUUUUUCUUCUAGGUAUCAGUAGCAAAUUCAAAAACUACAGAAUCAGCUCCAGAGGACUUUGUU
RNAcentral lists this non-coding RNA (2399 nucleotides) under Pan troglodytes (chimpanzee). Lineage: Eukaryota; Metazoa; Chordata; Mammalia; Primates; Hominidae. The record is from RNAcentral.